Odocoileus virginianus texanus is the source of this 650-nucleotide non-coding RNA. NCBI's taxonomy places the organism in Eukaryota, Metazoa, Chordata, Mammalia, Artiodactyla, Cervidae. The record is from RefSeq and is a predicted model, not a curated record.
CUGGGGCUAUCUACCUUCCAGCGACUGAGCAGAUGGAGAGACUUGGCAAAGGCCUUUGCAAAGGGUUUGAACUGGCCUCCUGUGUCAAAGCCCCACAGAGUGCAGGGACCUGGUCCCCCUUGGCUCAACAGUCACUCUUCAGUAAUGCCAGCUCUGCAGGUGUCGUCUGCCUUCUGCUUCACCCCGCUUCUAGUUGCUGCCCACCUCCAGGAACCUGAGGUCAGAGAGAAACAAAACUUAUCAGCAAGAGGGGGAAUGAAGAAUAACAGCUUCCUAAUUUGGUCAGGAAACACCAAGAGUUAUUGAACCCCUGGUCUGUACCUAAAACUUCUCAGUACUGCCUCAUGAGGUCAUGAUUAAUAACCCCAUUUUAAGUCAUCUAAAGUACAGAGAGGCUAGGUAAUGUGCUCAGGGAUGCUCCCAGUCCACAGCAGAGUUAGCGUUCAAAGCCUGGACUCUAUCACCGAGGACAAGAUUCCCUCUGUCCCAAAGCCCCCUCUAAGGUGGCAGUAUGGUAUUCUGGAAAGAAAGCAUAUGCCUCAGGUAACCAGCCCUGGUUCUGUCACAAACAGCCUUGAGCAAGUGUCUUCAUUCUGAUGUGGUUUUCCUGGAAAAUAAGAUUAAAGGAGACUCUCUAAGAUCCCAUCUAA